GACGAACGCUGGCGGCGUGCCUAAUACAUGCAAGUCGAGCGAAGUUUUUCUGGUGCUUGCACUAGAAAAACUUAGCGGCGAACGGGUGAGUAACACGUAAAGAACCUGCCUCAUAGACUGGGACAACUAUUGGAAACGAUAGCUAAUACCGGAUAACAGUAUUUCUCGCAUGAGAGAUAUUUAAAAGUUGGUUAUGCUAACACUAUGAGAUGGCUUUGCGGUGCAUUAGCUAGUUGGCGGGGUAAAGGCCCACCAAGGCGACGAUGCAUAGCCGACCUGAGAGGGUGAUCGGCCACACUGGGACUGGGACACGGCCCAGGCUCCUGCGGGAGGCAGCAGUAGGGAAUCUGCCGCAAUGGGCGAAAGCCUGACGGAGCAACGCCGCGUGAGUGAAGAAGGAUUUCGGUUCGUAAAGCUCUGUUGUUAGGGAAGAAUGGAUAUGUAGUAACUAUACAUGUAAGAGACGGUACCUAACCAGAAAGCCACGGCUAACUACGUG
RNAcentral lists this ribosomal RNA (499 nucleotides) under uncultured bacterium. Its description in RNAcentral is "partial 16S ribosomal RNA". It matches the Rfam family "Bacterial small subunit ribosomal RNA", at positions 28 to 507 of the family's 1533-position model. The record is from RNAcentral.